Molecule: ribosomal RNA, 253 nt
Filed under: uncultured bacterium
Lineage: Bacteria
Description: partial 16S ribosomal RNA
Rfam family: Bacterial small subunit ribosomal RNA
Source: RNAcentral
UACAGAGGUGUCAAGCGUUGCUCGGUAUCACUGGGCUUAAAGGGUGCGUAGGCGGCCAAUUAAGUAGGGUGUGAAAGGCUUCGGCUCAACCGGAGCAUUGCGCUCUAGACUGCUUGGCUCGAGUGAGAUAGGGGUGUGCGGAACUUCCAGUGGAGCGGUGAAAUGUGUUGAUAUUGGAAGGAACGCCGGUGGCGAAAGCGGCACACUGGGUCUUAACUGACGCUGAGGCACGAAAGCCAGGGGAGCGAACGGG